Molecule: ribosomal RNA, 336 nt
Filed under: Triticum aestivum (bread wheat)
Lineage: Eukaryota; Viridiplantae; Streptophyta; Magnoliopsida; Poales; Poaceae
Description: partial small subunit ribosomal RNA
Source: RNAcentral
AUGUUCAAGGCUAUACAAAUCAUUUUUCUAGCUUUUGUCAUUGCGACACUUUUCCUUCGGACAGAAACGAGCCCAGAUACAGUUUUUGAGGGAGUAAAGUACUUGGGUGCUCUCUUUAUGGGUAUAGCUGUCAUAAACUUCAACAGCAUGAUCGAACUUGCAAUGACCACAAAGAGACUCCCGAUAUUCUAUAAACAAAGGGAGUCAUUAGCAUUACCAGGAUGGGCUGUUGUUUGCUCAGUUUUCCUUAUCAGUCUACCUAUAUCACUAAUGGAGUCAAGUCUUUGGACCUUUCCCAACCUACUAUGCAAUUGGCUAUGCACCUUCUCCCAUUAG